This 375-nucleotide ribosomal RNA is filed under the name Blastocystis sp. RNAcentral describes it as "SSU rRNA". It matches the Rfam family "Eukaryotic small subunit ribosomal RNA", at positions 20 to 411 of the family's 1831-position model. The record is from RNAcentral. Lineage: Eukaryota; Bigyra; Opalinata; Blastocystidae.
GUAGUCAUACGCUCGUCUCAAAAGAUUAAGCCAUGCAUGUGUAAGUGUAAAUAUCAAAGUUUGGAACUGCGAAUGGCUCAUUAUAUCAGUUAUAGUUUAUUUGGUGAAGUGUACUACUUGGAUAACCGUAGUAAUUCUAGGGCUAAUACAUGAGAAAGUCCUCUGGUGAGGUGUGUUUAUUAGAAUGAAAACCAUAUGCUUCGGCAUGAUAGUGAGUAAUAGUAACCUAUCGUAUCGCAUGCUUAAUGUAGCGAUGAGUCUUUCAAGUUUCUGCCCUAUCAGCUUUCGAUGGUAGUAUAUGGGCCUACCAUGGCAGUAACGGGUAACGAAGAAUUUGGGUUCGAUUUCGGAGAGGGAGCCUGAGAGAUGGCUACC